UUCUAAGGAUGACCCUAGCUUUUGACUGGGUUACCAAAGCGCUCAAGUAGCGAAGCGGUAGCGCAUCAAACAUGGAUCACUUAGCAUAAGAUCAGUAAUCAAAACUGAUCACAUCCGGACCAGGCCGUCCUCAUAUCUCUUCAGAACUGUCAUGAUCUUGCCUUGAGGCAGGAUCUAGCAAGGGGCCUUAGCUCAGCUGGGAGAGCGCCUGAUUUGCAUUCAGGAGGUCAGGAGUUCGAUCCUCCUAGGCUCCACCACUCAUGCGAACGGCCCACAUAGAAUGGGUCGGUAGCUCAGGUGGUUAGAGCGCACGCCUGAUAAGCGUGAGGUCGGAGGUUCAAGUCCUCCUCGACCCACCAUUCUGCAAGAGACGAUUUGAUCGUUAAGCAUCCUGAGAUGUUUAACCGUCCAAUCGGACCGGAUCGAUGUUCCUUCGGGAAGGUUGAUCACAUUGACAUCGUUUAGAGAGAUACAAUCAACAACACUGUUGGUCACCCGCGUAAGGGAUCGACCUCAGUUUGGUGCUGAAGACCACUUAUGUGGCCUGAUGCGAGCCUUUGCAUCCGCCCUUUUCCUCGGGCGCGCGAGGGUCUGCCGGAUUGAAACCACAGUGUUGUCCAAGUCAAGUACACUAACCCGGUUCAUAUUCCGCAAGGUUUAUGAACCAAUGUUCACUUCUAUGAAGUGAGCGGGAAAGUAUGCUUUUGGUUCAGAAUAAGGCCACAGUUUCUUACCAGCUUCUGUGGCGUGACAGUUCACUGUCUUUUUCUGG
RNAcentral lists this transfer RNA (772 nucleotides) under Phaeobacter inhibens DSM 16374. Its description in RNAcentral is "partial 16S-23S ribosomal RNA intergenic spacer". The stretch from base 283 to 356 matches the Rfam family "tRNA". The record is from RNAcentral. Lineage: Bacteria; Pseudomonadati; Pseudomonadota; Alphaproteobacteria; Rhodobacterales; Roseobacteraceae.